GGUGUUACAUGGCUCCAUUUGCGUAAGAGAAUGUUGUAGAUGUCCGCGAGCUGCAUCAAUUUAUUUAUGCCAAAGACAUGACAACUGGUGUUGUACUCGCAAAUGACGAAGAGUUCAGCAUCCGUACUUGUGUUAACGAUAGAAGAUGAAGCUAUUGGAGUUCAGUGCACAGGUGUUGAGGGUUGGUCAAGGAUCUUUGGGAUUUAAGGCUUGGGAUCCUCACGGUAUAGAUGUUGGGGGCUGUGGAGAGAGGC
This 254-nucleotide long non-coding RNA is filed under the name Elaeis guineensis (African oil palm). RNAcentral's name for it is "long non-coding RNA (EGUI_LNC026510)". The record is from RNAcentral. Lineage: Eukaryota; Viridiplantae; Streptophyta; Magnoliopsida; Arecales; Arecaceae.